This is a long non-coding RNA of Myotis lucifugus (little brown bat), 640 nucleotides long. RefSeq lists it as uncharacterized. The transcript is spliced from 2 exons. The record is from RefSeq and is a predicted model, not a curated record. Lineage: Eukaryota; Metazoa; Chordata; Mammalia; Chiroptera; Vespertilionidae.
UGAAAAGAUGUCAACCUACAGGUCUGAAGAGGCCAAAUAUUUGCCGAGUGACUAAGUGGAUGGGAGAUUCCGCGAUUCGUGUGCCCUGCCCCGCCUCGCCCUUAGCCCUGGGCCUCAGUGGGUGGGAAGCCCCCCACCGCCUCUCCCGCGCUCGGCGCCCGUGGGAGCCAGUCCGCGGAACUGAGCCCCGCCAGCCCCGUGCCUCCUGUGCCAGAUGUCCUUCACCCACUGCUCGGCCCCUGUUGCCUGCCUCCUAGUUGCCGCUCGCGCUUAAAAUAGACAGGAAUGCAGCCCAGCUACCGGGCUGUGACCAGCCCAGCCUGCAACCCAGAACCUGCCCCUCGGGGAACAGGAGCAGCUAAACCUCCUUGGCCGCCUUUCUUUCUUGGAACAAAGGGAAGCAUUUCACACCAGAAAAACCACCCAGUACCCUUCCAGCCAGAGGCGAGGCGGGAAGACAAGACGAGGUUGCAGAUUUCACAAAGUGAAGGCCAGACCCUCCCCGGCCCGGAGAUGACCCCUGGCUUCGUUGCGGGGUCCUGGGACCCAGGCCGAGGCCCGCCGGACGGAUCGCACGCCCCAGCACGCAUGAACCUUGAACAGAUUGCGCAAAGCGAAAGAAGCCGGCCACGAAAGCACA